UGCGCAGGCGGCUUUGCAAGACAGAUGUGAAAUCCCCGGGCUCAACCUGGGAACUGCAUUUGUGACUGCAUGGCUGGAGUGCGGCAGAGGGGGAUGGAAUUCCGCGUGUAGCAGUGAAAUGCGUAGAUAUGCGGAGGAACACCGAUGGCGAAGGCAAUCCCCUGGGCCUGCACUGACGCUCAUGCACGAAAGCUAUGGGAGCGAAAGGGAUUAGAUACCCCUGUA
This 225-nucleotide ribosomal RNA is filed under the name uncultured Methylibium sp. Its description in RNAcentral is "partial 16S ribosomal RNA". It matches the Rfam family "Bacterial small subunit ribosomal RNA", at positions 568 to 792 of the family's 1533-position model. Lineage: Bacteria; Pseudomonadati; Pseudomonadota; Betaproteobacteria; Burkholderiales; Sphaerotilaceae. The record is from RNAcentral.